Molecule: ribosomal RNA, 252 nt
Filed under: uncultured bacterium
Lineage: Bacteria
Description: partial 16S ribosomal RNA
Rfam family: Bacterial small subunit ribosomal RNA
Source: RNAcentral
CGUGAGAUGUUGGGUUAAGUCCCGCAACGAGCGCAACCCUCGCCAUUAGUUGCCAUCAUUCAGUUGGGCACUCUAGUGGGACUGCCGGUGAUAAGCCGGAGGAAGGUGGGGAUGACGUCAAGUCAUCAUGGCCCUUACGGUUUGGGCUACACACGUGCUACAAUGGCGGUGACAGUGGGCAGCCACUCAGUAAUGAGGAGCUAAUCCCCAAAAGCCGUCUCAGUUCGGAUUGAGCUCUGCAACUCGAGCUCA